AGAACCCCGGCGAGGGGAGUGAAAAAGAACCUGAAACCGUGUACGUACAAGCAGUGGGAGCACAGAGCAAUCUGUGUGACUGCGUACCUUUUGUAUAAUGGGUCAGCGACUUAUAUUCUGUAGCAAGGUUAACCGAAUAGGGGAGCCGAAGGGAAACCGAGUCUUAACUGGGCGUUAAGUUGCAGGGUAUAGACCCGAAACCCGGUGAUCUAGCCAUGGGCAGGUUGAAGGUUGGGUAACACUAACUGGAGGACCGAACCGACUAAUGUUGAAAAAUUAGCGGAUGACUUGUGGCUGGGGGUGAAAGGCCAAUCAAACCGGGAGAUAGCUGGUUCUCCCCGAAAGCUAUUUAGGUAGCGCCUCGUGAAUUCAUCUCCGGGGGUAGAGCACUGUUUCGGCAAGGGGGUCAUCCCGACUUACCAACCCGAUGCAAACUGCGAAUACCGGAGAAUGUUAUCACGGGAGACACACGGCGGGUGCUAACGUCCGUCGUGAAGAGGGAAACAACCCAGACCGCCAGCUAAGGUCCCAAAGUCAUGGUUAAGUGGGAAACGAUGUGGGAAGGCCCAGACAGCCAGGAUGUUGGCUUAGAAGCAGCCAUCAUUUAAAGAAAGCGUAAUAGCUCACUGGUCGAGUCGGCCUGCGCGGAAGAUGUAACGGGGCUAAACCAUGCACCGAAGCUGCGGCAGCGACGCUUAUGCGUUGUUGGGUA
Molecule: ribosomal RNA, 712 nt
Filed under: Escherichia coli
Lineage: Bacteria; Pseudomonadati; Pseudomonadota; Gammaproteobacteria; Enterobacterales; Enterobacteriaceae
Description: partial 23S ribosomal RNA
Rfam family: Bacterial large subunit ribosomal RNA
Source: RNAcentral